GAAAAAUUAGUUAAAACAUAACAUGAAGUUGUCAACUUCAAAUUACUAAACUAAUAGUAUUUUUUU
RNAcentral lists this transfer RNA (66 nucleotides) under Sepiadarium kochi. RNAcentral's name for it is "tRNA-Asp". The record is from RNAcentral. Lineage: Eukaryota; Metazoa; Mollusca; Cephalopoda; Sepiida; Sepiadariidae.